UGCAAGUCGACGGUAGCAGGCCUUCGGGCGCUGACGAGUGGCGGACGGGUGASUAACGCGUAGGAAUCUGCCUCAUAGUGGGGGACAACGUGGGGAAACUCACGCUAAUACCGCAUACGCCCCAAGGGGGAAAGGAGGGGAUCUUCGGACCUUUCGCUAUGAGAUGAGCCUGCGUUAGAUUAGCUAGUUGGUAGGGUAAAGGCCUACCAAGGCGACGAUCUAUAGCUGGUCUGAGAGGACGAUCAGCCACACUGGGACUGARACACGGCCCAGACUCCUACGGGAGGCAGCAGUGGGGAAUAUUGGACAAUGGGCGAAAGCCUGAUCCAGCAAUACCGCGUGUGUGAAGAAGGCCUUAGGGUUGUAAAGCACUUUCAAUUGGGAGGAAAACCUACCGGUCAAUACCCGGUAGCUUGACAUUACCUUUAGAAGAAGCACCGGCUAACUCCGUGCCAGCAGCCGCGGUAAUACGGAGGGUGCGAGCGUUAAUCGGAAUUACUGGGCGUAAAGCGUGCGUAGGCGGUUCGUUAAGUCAGAUGUGAAAGCCCCGGGCUCAACCUGGGAACUGCAUUUGAAACUGGCGAACUCGAGUUUAGUAGAGGGGAGUGGAAUUUCAGGUGUAGCGGUGAAAUGCGUAGAUAUCUGAAGGAACACCAGUGGCGAAGGCGACUCCCUGGACUAGAACUGACGCUGAGGUACGAAAGCGUGGGUAGCAAACAGGAUUAGAUACCCUGGUAGUCCA
RNAcentral lists this ribosomal RNA (742 nucleotides) under uncultured bacterium. Its description in RNAcentral is "bacterial SSU rRNA". It matches the Rfam family "Bacterial small subunit ribosomal RNA", at positions 56 to 797 of the family's 1533-position model. The record is from RNAcentral.